AGAAAUUGUAACGAUUACUAUGUGAAUGGUUUUGUGGAUGGUCUUGUGGAUGGUCUUCUGGAUGGUUGUGAAGGUGGUCUUGUAAAUGAUUGUAAAAAUAGUCAGGAAAGUUUUAAAAUUACAUGUACAAAUAAUAAUUUAUAUCAGUUGGAACUGGAAGAGAAAAGUAACAACGGGAAAAACAAACGAAACGAACAAAAUGAUGACGCGAUAAAAAGUACACACAGUGACUUGCUACUACCUUCGGCAUCGCAAUACGGUAAUACAAAUUUCAGUUAUAAUAAAGAGUUUUUAAGACUAAAUAUAUAUGCAGAAAAAUUUCCUUUAAUUCAUAUGCGUGACUUAUUUUUUUUAAACAAUAUAAUAGAUAUAUUUAUUAAUAACAAUAAUUUAUUUAAUAACAAUAUGUAUCAAAUAUACGGCAAGGUACUGAUUUUUUUAACUACUUACUCACCUUAUGAAUAUGUAUACAACCAUUAUUAUUCUCGUUUUUUAAAAAAAAAAAAAAGAAAUUCAUUCGGGAGGUAUGCUUGUCCAUUUUUUAACAUUUAUGAUGACUGUGAUUCUGUAACUGUUGAGCAGGGGGGAACUUUCGAACAGGAAGAAGUUGAUGUAAAAAUAUAUAAUAGCAUGACGAAAAGAGUGUUAAAUAAAAAUUUUGGCUCUGGAACAAAAUAUGAAGGUAAUAAUGGUAGCACUAAUGGUUGCAUUAGUAGUAUUGGUAUAGGUAGUGGUAGUGGUAUUGGUAGUGGUAGUAGUAUUGGUAGUGGUAGUGGUAGUAGUAGUAAAAGUAGUAGUGGUAGUGGUAGUGGUAGUAAAACAAAUAGAAGUAAAUGUAGCGAUAAAACAAGCAAGUUAAAUUCCCGUCUUUAUGACAAAACAAACGUAACAAUAAAACAAAAUAGUUAUAAUAAAAAAAAACACAAGAGUAUAGAUGAAACAAAUUUAAUAAAUAAUAAUGUGAGAGUAAAAUUUGUGGAUGUAGAAGAACAAGAUACUCUUAAUGCUCAGCAGGAAAAGAUUUCAAUGAAAAAUGAGAAAAUCGAUGUAGUAAGAAAAAUAAAUAAUAAUGCAUUAGUAACUAGUGAUGUGAAUCUAACAGUUGGUAUAAAAAACUCACAUGCUGUUACAAAUGAUCACGAUAUAAUGACAUCUAGAAAUAAACGCAAACUAGCUCGACAGUCAGAAGAUCUUUUUAAAUUAAAAACAGAAACAAUGUCAUGUUGUGAUAUAAAUAGUAGCGUUUUAAAAAAUAUAAAAAGUAGAAAAAAGUUAAAAACUAAUAAAAUAAUAAGUAAUA
Molecule: long non-coding RNA, 1300 nt
Filed under: Piliocolobus tephrosceles (Ugandan red Colobus)
Lineage: Eukaryota; Metazoa; Chordata; Mammalia; Primates; Cercopithecidae
Description: lncRNA (ENSPTEG00000008925.1)
Source: RNAcentral